AGCCUUGUAGUGAAUGAUCAUGUUGAAUUCGAAAUUCAAAGGAGCAGCUUCAAUCCUGCCGGGGCUU
Molecule: non-coding RNA, 67 nt
Organism: Physeter macrocephalus (sperm whale)
Lineage: Eukaryota; Metazoa; Chordata; Mammalia; Artiodactyla; Physeteridae
Source: the annotation of a RefSeq genome assembly